RNAcentral lists this ribosomal RNA (381 nucleotides) under uncultured eukaryote. RNAcentral describes it as "SSU rRNA". It matches the Rfam family "Eukaryotic small subunit ribosomal RNA", at positions 587 to 969 of the family's 1831-position model. The record is from RNAcentral.
AGCUCCAAUAGCGUAUAUUAAAGUUGUUUCAGUUAAAAAGCUCGUAGUUGGAUUUCUGGCAGGAGCGACCGGUCACACACUCUGUGUGUGAACUUGCGUUGUCUCUGGCCAUCCUUGGGGAGAUCCUGUUUGGCAUUAAGUUGUCGGGCAGGGGAUACCCAUCGUUUACUGUGAAAAAAUUAGAGUGUUUAAAGCAGGCUUAUGCCGUUGAAUAUAUUAGCAUGGAAUAAUAAGAUAGGACUUCGGAACUAUUUUGUUGGUUUGCGUUACGAAGUAAUGAUUAAUAGGGACAGUUGGGGGUAUUCGUAUUUCGUUGUCAGAGGUGAAAUUCUUGGAUUUCCGAAAGACGAACUACUGCGAAAGCAUUUACCAAGGAUGGUU